This 339-nucleotide unclassified non-coding RNA is filed under the name soil metagenome. RNAcentral describes it as "partial contains 5.8S ribosomal RNA, internal transcribed spacer 2, and large subunit ribosomal RNA". The stretch from base 1 to 120 matches the Rfam family "5.8S ribosomal RNA", at positions 35 to 154 of the family's 154-position model. The record is from RNAcentral.
GAUGAAGAACGCAGCGAAAUGCGAUAACUAAUGUGAAUUGCAGAAUUCCGUGAAUCAUCGAGUCUUUGAACGCACAUUGCGCCCCCUGGUAUUCCGGGGGGCAUGCCUGUCCGAGCGUCAUUGCUGCCCUCAAGCACGGCUUGUGUGUUGGGCUCCGUCCCCCCGGGGACGGGCCCGAAAGGCAGCGGCGGCACCGAGUCCGGUCCUCGAGCGUAUGGGGCUUUGUCACCCGCUCUGUAGGCCCGGCCGGCGCCAGCCGACAACCCAUCAUCCUUUUCAGGUUGACCUCGGAUCAGGUAGGGAUACCCGCUGAACUUAAGCAUAUCAAUAAGCGGAGGA